GAAGGAAAGAAAGAGAAGAAGAAGGAGAAGAAGAAGAAGAAGAGGACCAUCUUCUUCCCUCUCUCCUUCAAACAAGAGCAAGCUUGGAGAAGCUUUUGGAGGUAAACCUCAAGCCCUACAAUGGUAGAUUUCUUGCUAUAGGGUUUUAUUGCUUGGAAUUGGUUCGAAUGGAACCUAGAGGAGAUAAGGAGAUGGUUCGGGCUCGCAAUCGAAGCUCGCACCGCGGAUUUCUUCCCCGUUGCCAUUCUAGGGCACGGAUUUGGGGAUUUUGGAAAUCUAGGGUUUUGAUCUACUUUGAAUGGUCAGAAACCUAAUUGCUAUGUCUCCGAACGCGUAGGAAGCGACGGUUCGUCGAUCCGUUGAGCGGGUGCGACGUUCCGGCUGAAGCAAGUGCUCGAGGGUUCGUUUUGGCCGAGGAGCCGAGGCGGCGCGCGAGGACCGCAAAGACAAGUUUACUAACCUUGCGGCGUUGCCAGAAGGUGGGUGGUGUCCAUCCCAAAGCAACCGGGCCCCCUUCUAUGUCUUAGUACAUUUUGAUUCAUGCAUCUUGUGUUAUUGCAUUAUAGGAUAAUUGUGCAUUUGCCUUUCCUUAUGCUUUCCUUGAUGAUAUCGUAGCAUGUACAGGAUACUUGAUAUAGUGGAUUGAUAAGGAUUGGGUCGAGACUUGUGAAUCCUAUAGUGCAGAGAAAAAGAUGGGCUCGACGGUUGGUCUAAUGUUAAACAAAUAACUAGUGGCAUCUAGUUGAUAAUGAGCAAAAGAAUGAGUGGCAUCUAGUUGAUAGUAAAUAAAUGAACGCGUGGCAUCUAUG
This 809-nucleotide long non-coding RNA is filed under the name Ananas comosus (pineapple). RNAcentral describes it as "long non-coding RNA (ACOM_LNC035774)". The record is from RNAcentral. Lineage: Eukaryota; Viridiplantae; Streptophyta; Magnoliopsida; Poales; Bromeliaceae.